AUUACCGAGUUUUCAACUCCCAAACCCUUUUGUGAACAUACCUAUCGUUGCUUCGGCGGACUCGCCCCAGCGUCCGGCCGGCCCCGCGCCGGCCGCGGCCUGGAUCCAGGCGGCCGCCGGAGACCCCCAAACUCUGUAUUCUCAGUAUCUUCUGAAUCCGCCGCAAGGCAAAACAAAUGAAUCAAAACUUUCAACAACGGAUCUCUUGGUUCUGGCAUCGAUGAAGAACGCAGCGAAAUGCGAUAAGUAAUGUGAAUUGCAGAAUUCAGUGAAUCAUCGAAUCUUUGAACGCACAUUGCGCCCGCCAGCAUUCUGGCGGGCAUGCCUGUUCGAGCGUCAUUUCAACCCUCGACUUCCCUUUGGGGAAAUCGGCGUUGGGGACCGGCCGUAUACCGCCGGCCCCGAAAUGAAGUGGCGGCCCGUCCGCGGCGACCUCUGCGUAGUAAUCCAACUCGCACCGGAACCCCGACGUGGCCACGCCGUAAAACCCCCGACUUCUGAACGUUGACCUCGGAUCAGGUAGGAAUACCCGCUGAACUUAAGCA
Molecule: ribosomal RNA, 545 nt
Filed under: Cordyceps farinosa
Lineage: Eukaryota; Fungi; Ascomycota; Sordariomycetes; Hypocreales; Cordycipitaceae
Description: eukaryotic LSU rRNA
Rfam family: 5.8S ribosomal RNA (bases 186-339)
Source: RNAcentral